Molecule: ribosomal RNA, 1373 nt
Filed under: uncultured bacterium
Lineage: Bacteria
Description: bacterial SSU rRNA
Rfam family: Bacterial small subunit ribosomal RNA
Source: RNAcentral
GAUGAACGCUGGCGGCGUGCCUAAUACAUGCAAGUCGAGCGAACAGAUGAGAAGCUUGCUUCUCUGAUGUUAGCGGCGGACGGGUGAGUAACACGUGGGUAACCUACCUAUAAGACUGGGAUAACUCCGGGAAACCGGGGCUAAUACCGGAUAAUAUUUUGAACCGCAUGGUUCAAUAGUGAAAGACGGUUUCGGCUGUCACUUAUAGAUGGACCCGCGCCGUAUUAGCUAGUUGGUAAGGUAACGGCUUACCAAGGCGACGAUACGUAGCCGACCUGAGAGGGUGAUCGGCCACACUGGAACUGAGACACGGUCCAGACUCCUACGGGAGGCAGCAGUAGGGAAUCUUCCGCAAUGGGCGAAAGCCUGACGGAGCAACGCCGCGUGAGUGAUGAAGGUCUUCGGAUCGUAAAACUCUGUUGUUAGGGAAGAACAAAUUUGUUAGUAACUGAACAAGUCUUGACGGUACCUAACCAGAAAGCCACGGCUAACUACGUGCCAGCAGCCGCGGUAAUACGUAGGUGGCAAGCGUUAUCCGGAAUUAUUGGGCGUAAAGCGCGCGUAGGCGGUUUCUUAAGUCUGAUGUGAAAGCCCACGGCUCAACCGUGGAGGGUCAUUGGAAACUGGGAAACUUGAGUGCAGAAGAGGAGAGUGGAAUUCCAUGUGUAGCGGUGAAAUGCGCAGAGAUAUGGAGGAACACCAGUGGCGAAGGCGGCUCUCUGGUCUGUAACUGACGCUGAUGUGCGAAAGCGUGGGGAUCAAACAGGAUUAGAUACCCUGGUAGUCCACGCCGUAAACGAUGAGUGCUAAGUGUUAGGGGGUUUCCGCCCCUUAGUGCUGCAGCUAACGCAUUCAGCACUCCGCCUGGGGAGUACGACCGCAAGGUUGAAACUCAAAGGAAUUGACGGGGACCCGCACAAGCGGUGGAGCAUGUGGUUUAAUUCGAAGCAACGCGAAGAACCUUACCAAAUCUUGACAUCCUUUGACCGCUCUAGAGAUAGAGUCUUCCCCUUCGGGGGACAAAGUGACAGGUGGUGCAUGGUUGUCGUCAGCUCGUGUCGUGAGAUGUUGGGUUAAGUCCCGCAACGAGCGCAACCCUUAAGCUUAGUUGCUAUCAUUAAGUUGGGCACUCUAGGUUGACUGCCGGUGACAAACCGGAGGAAGGUGGGGAUGACGUCAAAUCAUCAUGCCCCUUAUGAUUUGGGCUACACACGUGCUACAAUGGAUAAUACAAAGGGCAGCGAAUCCGCGAGGCCAAGCAAAUCCCAUAAAAUUAUUCUCAGUUCGGAUUGUAGUCUGCAACUCGACUACAUGAAGCUGGAAUCGCUAGUAAUCGUAGAUCAGCAUGCUACGGUGAAUACGUUCCCGGGUCU